RNAcentral lists this long non-coding RNA (28821 nucleotides) under Chlamydomonas reinhardtii. RNAcentral's name for it is "long non-coding RNA (CREI_LNC000867)". Lineage: Eukaryota; Viridiplantae; Chlorophyta; Chlorophyceae; Chlamydomonadales; Chlamydomonadaceae. The record is from RNAcentral.
GCAAGGGCGACCUUUCGCAAAAUAGCCAAGGAGCUGAAGCACCCGGAUCUCAGCGAGAAGGAGCGGGCGGCGCUGGUUGCGGAGCAGGAGUCGUGCGCCGCGGACUUGACAGCUGCCGAGAGAAAACUGGAGCGGCUGAGCAAGGACCUGGAGCAGCUGCGCACAAAGGAGGAGCUGAUGCGCAGGAAGGAAGAGCGGCUGCGCAAGGAGAAGGAGGAGCUGCGCACGGACCUGCGCAAGAAGGAGGAGAGGCUGCAACAGGACGGUGAGCGUUGCGGUCUUGCUUGAUGCUUCGGGAACCUAGGACUGAUUUUGCGUCCUUGUUGCUUUUGAGGCCUGAUGGGCGUUUUUGCCGAGCUCUAACGCUUAGAUUACGCUGCUGCUCCUUGUUGCCGUCGCAAUCUACCAAACCCAAAUCUCACUGGCUAUGCCCCCCGGCCACUCGCACGUUGUAGGCGCUGUGGCUAUCCUGAACGUGGGGAGCGCGGCAGGAGCCGGUGAGUUUGUGUUGCGAAAGCCCGGUUGCUAUUCAUGUGCAGCGUUCCUCGGUUGGGCUACGCGAAGACCGUGGCACAUUCGGGUGGCACCUGUAGGGACGUAACCCCGUUUAGCUCAACGUGUCCGAUUGACCGACCAACCGCCCCGCGCGGCCCAGAAGCUUUCUCGCGGUGCGGACACUCCUCGCGUGUCCGAAUGCCAACGCUCCAUCCAAUGUCUCCUUUUGCAGACGUGAAGAAGAAGCUGUCCCCAUAUGAGAUCAUGGACAAGGUCUACAAGGACGCCACGUACACGGCGCCCGUCCGUGUACGCGGCGACCUCAUGCCGGUGAGCAACCUGGCGGGUACAACGAUGGAGCGGAGGAGGUGGAGGCGGGGGAGAUGGGGGAGGGUUCGGCGGAGUGUGUUCAUAGGAGGGUGCGUGUGUGGGUGCACAGGAUGGGAUGGGUGGCUGGUCACGAAGGGUACAGGACACAAGUCUGUCGCCCGCUUCUCCAUACGCGAGGGAACCCGUUCUGGGUUUGGGCAGGGUGGGAAGGGGUGGCAAUGGCUCUACCGGCGCUGGAUUGGGCGGGCGGGCUCGUGCACGGACAUGCAUUGUGCGUGUGCAUUGGGGUCCUGGUCUAUGUCGACCUGCGCUGUGACUGACCUUUGCAUCCACGGGUCUACUCCCGACAUCCUGCCCUCCUGGCACAUGCCCCAGCAGGUCACGCUGGAGGAAAAGAAGAAAAGCUGACUAGCAGUGGCCGGCGAGGCGGGCAUCGCGGCCCUCCGUCUCUGCGGCCCGGUGCUGGUCCUGCGUGCGGGGCAUCGGCGGCUGGUACACGCCGCCUGUGCUCCUCAUCAUCGGGCUUGUCCUGGCGGCAAUGUGGGCCAUUGGGCUGUGUGUGUUCAUGGCGGCGGUGCUGUCAGAGAUCCGGGUGUGCUACCGCGCCACCAUGUUCUGCGGAUUGGUUAUCCUAGCGAACAUAUGUGUGCUGAUGUAUUUCGACUGGAACGAUUUGCCUUUCCGGGAGGCUGCGCGGCGGGUGCUGGACGCUGCCAGCUUUACUUAUACUUUGUUGAAGAACGAGGUGCGCGACGUGGCAAAGGACAUCGGCUUUGACAUGUUCGCUUUCGAGUUCAGCCAGCAAUGCUUUAAGCUAGCGUUCAAGUUGGUGUACAAGCGCGUGCGCCAGGGCUGGGACUGGAUAAGGGGCCGCCGCCUGUGAGUAGCACGGACUGCUGCAGGCUGAGACCGGUUAGGAGAGGAAGUGGAGGGCGCCGCGCCGCCGCAAAGGCGGGGCAGACUUGAAGCAGGGCCGGGCGUUUGGAUGUUUGUUGGAGGAGGAUGGCCCGGAGACAGAUUGUGUGGGACAGGGGCACUUGCGGCUGUCAAGGUUGUCAGGCCCGAGUGCCAUCAGUUGUUGUCGUUUUUGUCGUGCUUUUGCAAGUUAGUGUACAAGCAGGUGCGCCAGGGCUGGGACUGGAUAACGGGCCGCCGCCUAUGAGUAGGACGGACUGCUUCAGGGUGAGACCGGUUAGGAGGGAUGAGAAGGGCGCCACGCCGCUGCAAAGGCAUGCAGCGCCACGCCCGCCUCCAUGACUACCGGUAGUGCGAGUGGGGGCUGAUGCAGGACACCACUGCUGUAAGCAUCUUGGGUUGCGCCUAUUGCAGCAUUCCCCUGUGGUACCGGUUUACUGGUCAGCCGAACCGGGUCUGAUAGCCACAGCGAGGUAGCAGGGAUGUAAGUGCGUGGCAGCCCUGAGCAGGUAUGAGGCACGGAACAGAUGUGAGGCAUUCAGGGAUAAUGUUGAUCACGUCUGCCUGGACCAAUGGCCACGGCUUCCAUUUGGCACUUUGGCUGCACUUGCUCGAGCAGGUCGAGGUAAAUACGGCGGGUCGGCAGCCUGCCCCAGGGAGGGCGGGAGGCGUGAGGGAUGCCAGGCCUGGCCAGGCACAAAGCGCCCAGGCACUGUUACCCGGGUCUUGAAAGGCUGAGCUGCUGAGGGGCAGACCGGGGCACACCGUUUGUUACAAGGCCUCGCAAAGAGCCAGAGACACUGAGACAGGAGUCAGUGCCAGAGUUCCGUUGAGGACUGUUGCGGCCGACACAUUGAAGCUUAGACCCGUCGGGCAUCUAAGCUUUGAACCGUCGCAGCCCGACCGGGGUUACUGCGGAAGUGGGGCGCCACCACCAAAUUCUUCAUAACCUCGAGGAAACACACAACCGCGGUAACCACAAGCUCACUUACUGUUGCAUCUGCGCACUACCGUAUUUCCUGUUGUAACCCCUGAAGCGUAUUGGGCGUGAUCGCGUAGUCAUGUCGUGAGCUGGCGUGUGACCGUGCAUAUCGUGUGACUGAGUGAUUUGGGUGUGGUUUUGGCGUGUGGGAAUAGGGGAACGUGCCCGAGGACUGGUUGGCCCGACACGGUGUAUUGCAUGGGAGGCCGGAGUACGGGUGAUCAGGGAGAGGAUCGCGUCUGAGAGCGGCUGGAGGCGUCUCUCAUUCCGAUCCUAGGCGAGCUAGUCGCCGUCAGGCACACGAAACGUUCAUUGUCCCAGGGGGGGGGUAGUUUCGACUGGGAAAGGCCCCAUGUUCUAAAACGAAAGAGCUUGACGAGAGGACUCCAAAUCCACUUUCAGAGUUUCAAUCAGGGUAGUAAUUGCAAAGUUAUGGGCCCUCAAAGUUCAGGGUCGGUCGUCGGGCCUGGGGGUCCCCAAGGUUUCGUCACGCAGAUGUGGGUGGGACUGCCAGGUUUCGUCUCUGCGCCCUAAACGCCCCUCUAAACGCUCCGCCCAUUAGCGCAAGCACUAGCACACAUUAGCAUGCACAUACUAAAGCAUUUGCAGAACGUUUGGCCUCUGGAAAGCGGCCGCAGGUCCGUCCACAUCGGCAUCGUAGUAGCGUAGAGCCCCACUCGAGCGUCUCUCACUGGUGUCAUGGAGACUAUGCGAACUGAUGCUAACGUGUAACGGCCAAGGCUUCGUGUGGGUCAUGGCGACAAGGCUGCCGCCGGCCAUCGAGCGUGACAAGAAUCCCGGGAUUCUUCACAUGAUCCCGGUAGAAAGUCGACCAAUCUCUUCCGGCACACAAUCCCAAACACCAUAUGUACAGCGCACUUGUAAGCUUAAGCGCACGCCCCGGUAGUCUGACAGAAGGGUCGGUGGUCGCCCAGGGACACAUGGACAUGUGUGGCAUGGCUGCCAGUCAAGUUGUGCCUCCAGCUGAACCGGAGGUAUACAAUUGUAGAGCUCGCCGAGAGCAGUCGAUUGACACCAAACUGGCUUAAAACCAAAGGGUUUUGAGGGGGUUUUGAGGGGUUGCACGGUGGUGGGGGUCGGUCGGUCGGUCCGGAGGGGGGGUCGGGAGGUUUUGGGACAUGGGGUCUGGAGGUUUAGUUCGUACCCCCCCCCCUGAUUGUCCUAUCAUAGGGCGCGACAGUCAACUGCCAGCGAAGUCCAACAGUGCACAUCACGCGUGUCACGGCACGUACCCGCCAAGCCAUCCUCUUCACACUCCAUCUCCAAUACCGUACUGCUAAAAAUUAUUCGUGCCUUGAAUUUUUGGGAGGGGGGUAAAUAAAUAGCUGGAAUUAGGCCGAAUUUAUUAAUUUUCGGGACGGGACCGGGACCUGCAAGCGGUUGUGACACAAAUUUUCGGGGACAACGGGGCUCCGGCGGGAAAGGCCCUGCAGUCUCCCCUAUACCACCACGUGUAACCAUGCACACCUACGAACACGCAGAACCCUCCCUAACGUACUGAGCCAUGCACUCUCUUCGUGUUCCUCUCUCUUCGUGUUCCUCAUUUGCCGUGCCUCAACCCCACCCGUACCGUACUUAAAAGCACACCUGCUUACCGGUAUCCUCCGGUGUCCUUACCACAUGCUUACGCAAGCGUUGCACCGGACCGAACCGCCUUAACCAGCUGCAGGAUUGGCUUCUCGAACUCGCUAUCAUACCCGCUGUCGUCUGCAUCGCUCUCCCCCCCACUGCUCUCCCCACCGCUCUCCUGCCCGCUGAUCUCCUCACUGCUCUCCUCUCCUCCACUCUCCUCCCCGCCACUAUCCUCCCCACUACUCCCCUCCUCACUGCUUUCCUCCUUACUGCUCUUCUCCUCUUCACUCUCCUCCCCGCCACUCUCCUCCCCGCCACUCUCCUCCCCGCCACCCUCCUCCCCGCCACUCUCCUCCCCGCCACUCUCCUCCCCGCCACUCUCCUCCGUGCCACUCUCCUCCCCACCGCUUUCCUCCCCGCCGCCACUUUCACUGCCAGUCGGCAACUCCUCCUCCUCCACUUCCUCACGCGACCGCUUCCUUCCAGCAGCACGGCCACGCCCCCUGCCCGCGCCCCGUCCACGCCGCCCGCCCUGGCCACGGCCCUCUGGUUGAGCAUUGCCACGGCCGCGGCCACCGCCACGGCCACGGCCGCGGCCACGCCCGCGGCCGCGGCCGCGGCCCCGCCCACGUUCAGCAGGCGCCCCGGCAACGUCAGUGCCAGCGGCACCAGCUGAUGAGGGGUCAGCGGCGCCAGCAGCCGUGGCAGGCUUGCGACUGCGCAUGCGCUCCAGCACCUCUGGUGCCAGCGCAUCGAAGUCCUGCUGCUUCGCCCAGACCAGCUUCUCCAGGCGCUCCAGCAUGCUGUCGUCCUCAUCAUCAUCAAUGACGUACUUGGUCGGCGUGGGCUGGCCGGGCCCCGCAGCCCCUGCGAUUGCUGUAUCCACUACGGAUGCAGCAGGUGAACCGCCCGCUGCAGCAGCGGCGCCUGCCGCGCCCUCGCCCGCUGCAGCAGCGGCGCCUGCUGCGCCCUCACUAUAACGACGGGUCCAUGCGUUAGAGCAUGCGUUAGCAUGCGUGCCGCAUGGCCCAAACGCAUGCUUAACGCGUGAAAAGCAUGUGCUGUACGCAUGCGGUGCCCGCCCAUACGCAUGCGUGCGCUACCAGAGCGUGCGUUACCUAACGCAUGCUGGUGUUGGCUAGCGGCCGCAGCGACUCUUUCUGGAUGUACGCAUGCGUCCCGAACGCAUGCCAUACGCAUGCUUGAAGCACAUAUGCCGGUUGCGUGAAGUACUACGCAUGCCAUGGCGCAUGCGGGACGCAUGUGCGUUACCUAACGCAAGCAGCUGCCCCCAACUGCACGCUUCCCACCCGCAUGCAUGCACGCACACGUGGGGCACACGAAGCCAAUUCCCUCAACUGCUCAUUUGUGUUACAGUUCAUGCAACGGCACGUGCCGCGCGUCCAGUGUAAACGAGGAUUCGGCCUGUUUCUCUGAAGGCGUGAGUCCGCCUCCAUCCACCAGCCUCUCCUUAGGCUUUUAGUCCGCCAUCGCACACCCUGGAAAGGAAGUCUGCCCGCUCCACAUGCCCUGUCACCCAUCGACCUCCUCGCUCACCGAACGUGCCCUACCGUAACAUGAAUACAGAUGCGUAUGUAGCCGCUUCCGGGUAACAACCAAAUGCCACCCGCCAAGGCAUAAGCGGCAGAGGUGUGCCCAUACUAAAGUCUUGCCAAACACACAACGACAACCACAACGUCCGACCUACCUGCUGCACAGUGCUACCGCAGACUCUGCAUGCUGCCGGUGCCGGCACUCCAGUCCGUAGCUAGCCACAGAUGUGCAUGUAGCCACUUCCGCGGAACAACCAAACGCCACCCGCCAAGGCAUAAGCGGCAGAGGUGUGCCCAUACUAAGUCUUGCCAAACACACAACGACCUCAACCACAACGUCCGACCUGCUGCACAGUGCCACCGCAGACUCCGCAUGCUGCCGGUGCCAGCGCUCCAGUCCACAGCUAGCCACACCCGUGCUGCCCUUCGUAAGCCUGCAUAGUGUUCAGGACGAUUCGGUCAGGAACCAAACCCCAAAACCAGGCAUAUCAGAGGGUAAGACGCAAGGUACCUUUCCCCCCAUGUUCAGCUGCAGACACGCUACUCAUGCAGUGCUUACUUCAGCAAUUGCGAAAUAAGAUCUGGACAUAGACUUGCCUGUUGGGGUUAACGUGUGAGUGCGCCACGUCUAGCCCACCCAGGGGUGGUCCGCACGGGUGGCCCUUAGUGCGGCCGGAGUCCUGAGGGAGGGCGGGAGGGUACCCGGACUGAGAACUGAGCAUGAACUGAUGACAGGCGUGUACGGUGCCAUUAUACAGACACCUUAGCAUGCGCAUGCUCUCAGCUGACAGCCUCGGGAGCUAGCAACCAAGUCGCGCGGAUGGCCGCACCCCCGCCUCACCUGCGCCACGCGUGAUGGCUCUGUAGCCUUUUGAAAUGCUUUUGUUGAGCCUGAACCUGAACGAAUUGAAGGUGGGCGAUAAAUAUUGCGCUCGGUCAACGACGUCACCACCCCUGCAACAACCCAGCGUUAUGGCCGCUGCAAGGCGCACCUGUGCGCCACAUAGCGUUACUAGUGGAGACUGGGCCUUAAAAGCAAACAUAGCAGGGCGAGGGCGUCCUCUGCCGAGUGGCAGAGAACUGUUUGCGGGUCUCUACAUACUGACACCUUGACGUGUCUGUAAUCUUUAAUAAUGUGUGAUAUGCAUAGAAGGAUACAGCAUAUAUAAAUUGAACUGGCAAAGAAGGAAGUGCCGCAAAGAGUUUGGAAGCAGUGCCCCAUGCAACACUUAAACUUGGUUGGCCGCAUACUUGAUACUUGCUUGUCUUGCCAUGUGCGGUGUUGAAAGGGGGAUUAAUAUGAACGCACACGGGGCCUUCUCUGCGCAAGCGCCUCAGCUGAUGCCCAACGCCGACAGCCGGGGAACGCCUGUGCUCGGGGCUGGAUACGGGGCACUGCUCUCAGGCACACGCACCGCCGCUCACGCCCAACGCCUUAUCAGGGACAGCCGGGGGAACACAUUAUGCCCAGGGCUGGAUACGGGGUAAAGCUCUCAGGCACACACACCGCCGCUCACGCCCAACGCCUUAUCAGGGACAGCCGGGGGAACGUCUUGUGCCUCGUGCUAGAUACGGGGUAAAGCUCUCAGGCACACGCACCGCCGCUCACGCCCAACGCCGUAUGAAAGAAAGCCGGGGGAACACCUUGUGCCUCGUGCUAGAUACGGGGUAAAGCUCUCAGGCACACGCACCGCCGCUCACGCCCAACGCCUUAUCAGGGACAGCCGGGGGAACACAUUAUGCCCAGGGCUGGAUACGGGGUAAAGCUCUCAGGCACACGCACCACCGCUCACGCCCAACGCCUUAUCAGGGACAGCCGGGGGAACGCCUUGUGCCCUGGGCUGGAUACGGGGUAAAGCUCUCAGGCACACGCACCACCGCUCACGCCCAACGCCUUACCGGGGGAACACAUUAUGCCCAGGGCUGGAUACGGGGUAAAGCUCUCAGGCACACGCACCACCGCUCACGCCCAACGCCUUAUCAGGGACAGCCGGGGGAACACCUUAUGCCCUGGGCUGGAUACGGGGUAAAGCUCUCACCGCCGCUCACGCCCAACGCCGUCUGAAGGAAAGCCGGGGGAACGCCUUGUGCCCUGGGCUGGAUACGGGGUAAAGCUCUCUGGCACACGCACCGCCGCUCACACCCAACGCCUUAUCAGGGACAGCCGGGGGAACACCUUAUGCCCUGGGCUGGAUACGGGGUAAAGCUCUCAGGCACACGCACCGCCGCUCGUGCCUAGCGCCUUUCACGGGACAGCCGGGGAAACGCUUUGUGGUCGGGGCUCGGUGCUGUGCAAUCCUCAAACUCAUAACACAGGACUUGAGGCGCUUAAAAGCACCGUGAUAUGGCGUCUGCGACCAUAGCCCCUGCCGCGGCUGCUGCUGCGGACAAGCAUCGUCGCAGCCACAACUGCACCUAUCCACUGCCUUGAGCUACCUCGCAGUCCCCGGGAAUGUGAGUAGCGGCAGCGGCCAGCCCGCUGCCCCAACGUCAAACGCCCAAGCCCACGCCAGUGCUGUCUCGUCGCCUGAUGCGACGGCGCAGCUGAUGGUGCAGCCGCGGGGGUGACGCCGGCGGGGGGCAGCACGCGUCCAACGUUAGCGCUGGCGACGACGGCAGCCGUGGCCUGUGGGGGGCCACCGCCGCAGCACCGCCGUUGCGCUCUCCCACGACGCCGCUGCCCGCGGCACUAAUCCCAAACACCCAGCCCCACGCCAGUGCUGUCUUGUCGCCUGAUGCGACGGCGCAGCUGAUGGUGCAGCCGCGGGGGUGACGCCGGCGGGGGGCAGCACGCGUCCAACGUUAGCGCUGGCGACAACGGCAGCCAUGGCCUGUGGGGGCCACCGCCGCAGCACCGCCGUUGCGCUCUCCCACGACGACGCCACCCGCGGCACCAAUCCCAAACACCCAGCCCCACGCCAGUGCUGUCUCGUCGCCUGAUGCAACGGCGCAGCUGAUGGUGCAGCCGCGGGGGUGACGCCGGUGGGGGGCAGCACGCGUCCAACGCUAGCAAUGGCGACAACGGCAGCCAUGGCAUGUGGGGGACCACCGCCGCAGCACCGCCACUGCGCUCACUGUCGCCACCGCCGCCCGCUGCCCCAAUCACAAACGCUCAGGCCCACGCCAGUGCUGUCUCGUCGCCUGAUGCGUUGGCGCAGCUAAUGGUGCAGCCGCUGGGGUGACGCCGGCUGGGGGCAGCACGCGUCCAACGCUAGCAAUGGCGACGACGGAAGCCAUGGCCUGUGGGGGGCCACCGCCGCAGCACCGCCGUUGCGCUCACUGGCGCCACCGCCGCCCGCUGCCCCAAUCACAAACGCCCAGGCCCACGCCAGUGCUGUCUCGUCGCCUGAUGCAACGGCGCAGCUGAUGGUGCAGCCGCGGGGGUGACGCCGGCGGGGGGCAACGCGCGUCCAACGCUAGCAAUGGCGACAACGGCAGCCGUGGCCUGUGGGGGGCCACCGCCGCAGCACCGCCGUUGCGCUCACUGGCGCCACCGCCGCCCGCGGCACCAAUCACAAACGCCCAGGCCCACGCCAGUGCUGUCUCGUCGCCUGAUGCAACGGCGCAGCUGAUGGUGCAGCCGCGGGGGUGACGCCGGCGGGGGGCAGCACGCGUCCAACGUUAGCGCUGGCGACAACGGCAGCCAUGGCAUGUGGGGGGCCACCGCCGCAGCACCGCCGUUGCGCUCUCCCACGACGACGCCACCCGCGGCACCAAUCACAUACGCCCAGGCCCACGCCAGUGCUGUCUCGUCGCCUGAUGCGACGGCGCAGCUGAUGGUGCAGCCGCGGGGGCGACGCCGGCUGGGGGCAGCACGCGUCCAACGUUAGCGCUGGCAACAACGGCAGCCAUGGCCUGUGGGGGGCCACCGCCGCAGCACCGCCGUUGCGCUCACUGGCGCCACCGCCGCCCGCGGCACUAAUCCCAAGCACCCAGCCCCACGCCAGUGCUGUCUCGUCGCCUGAUGCGACGGCGCAGCUGAAUGUGCAGCCGCGGGGGUGACGCCGGCGGGGGGCAGCACGCGUCCAACGUUAGCGCUGGCGACAACGGCAGCCAUGGCCUGUGGGGGGCCACCGCCGCAGCACCGCCGUUGCGCUCACUGGCGCCACCGCCGCCCGCGGCACCAAUCACAAACGCCCAGCCCCACGCCAGUGCUGUCUCGUCGCCUGAUGCGAUGGCGCAGCUGAUGGUGCAGCCGCGGGGUUGAUGCCGGCGGGGGGCAGCACGCGUCCAACGCUAGCAAUGGCGACAACGGCAGCCAUGGCCUGUGGGGGGCCGCCACCGCAGUGCCACCGUUGCACUCAGUUGCGCCGUCGCCCGCGACCUUCAUCGUGCACGCCCAGUCCCACGCCAGUGCUAUCUCAUAACCAUAACCCCCGCCGCGGCUGCUUAACAAAGGCACUGUCGCAGAAACAACCACGCCUACGCACUCUACGCACACCUUGAGCUGCCUCGCAGUCCCCGGCCUUGCGAGCAGUGCGCGGCAGCGGCAGUGGCCAGCCCUCUACACGCCAGCCACACAACCCGCCUUGUCAGGUGCAGCCUCCAUGCUGGUUGCUUGGUGCGACGCCCAGAUAGUACAGCAUACCAUAUAUACACAUGCGUUCACUCGUUUAGGCCCGACCGUCUAAAGACUAAAAGUCUAGCACUAUGUCCGAGUGAAUACUUCGCAAGGCCUGCUAGCCUACUUACACUGUUCGUUUUGAUAUACACAUUGCAUCAUAUAGCAGGGUCUGACGCUGUUGAAGUGUUGGAGUGCCGCGUCCGGCGAUCACGCGACCCUACGAGCGAGCGAGCCGUGCUUGCUGUCUACGACUAUGUCGUGACUUACAGGAAUACGUGCGUCUCUUAGUGCUUGCGUCAGGUCGGUGCGCAUGCGCCUGCAUGCGGCCCGCAUGCGUGCUUGUACGCACGGCUGUGCGCCCGACCCGGCCCCCCGCCCCUCAUGCUUCAUGCGUUCUGGCACGCAUGCGUCCAGUCCCAGACGCAUGCGUAGCGCACAAUAAGCAUGCGUAACGCACAAACCCGUCCUUAUAGUGCCUCGCCCGCUGCAGCAGCGGCGCCUGCUGCGCCCUCGCGCUCAUCCUUAGAUGCCUGCACCUCUCGUGCGUAUUUGAGCUCGCCAAUGCCAGCACGCUCUUCGGGACGGUGAUUUGCUGGCAGCUUCUUCAGCAGCUGGUUGAUUGCUGCUUGUUUCAUUUUACUUCAUGAUUUCUAUGCUUGACAUUACUUGUGUAAAUGUAUUUACAGUGGCCCAUAUCAGAAAUUAUGAGAUUAGAUCGUGUGUAUGGCACGCGAGGCACGCGCCCGCGCCCGCACGGGGCAGGUGCGGGUGGCACAAAUUUUCGGGAUGGGACCCCCUAAAAAUAGGCGCUAAAUAGUUCGGUUCCAUAUUUCGGGACCCCCAACCGAAAUAUGAAGCACGAAUAAUUUUUAGCAGUACGGUACCGCAGUUGCAGUUGCCGCAGGAGGCGGCUGGUGCCCACCACGUCGCCAACAGCCGACAACUCGAUCUGCCAAGCCUACGCCGGAACAUAGGGUAGCAACUGGCUCCAACGUCAACGUCGUCCAAUCAAUCUCCCACCCAAUCGUCGACUGCCCAAAACGUGCCUUGGCCACAACGGGCUGACGGCUUCACCCAAAGCCGUGAAAGCCGCUCUGACCCGACCCCAUCAAUGUGAGUCCAUCACGGCCUCAACCAACAGCGGUUACAUGAACGCCAUCCGAGUCGUUCGAGCAACCCCAACCCUUGCUGCUAGUGCUGGUGCUGGCGCUGCGGGUGCCACCCGCCGCACUUACGACGCCAGGGACCUGCCGCAUACAUCGCCGGCCUAAGCCGCUGCGCACCACACGCACCGCCCCAGCACCGCCUCCGCCUUCGCCGCCGCCAUGUCGCCACAGCUGUGGCUGCAGGCGGCGCGCUGGUAGGUGUCCUCGCUGGCACACCGACGCAGACGCCAACAGCAGGGGGCUCAGCCCAGUAAUACUUCCCCAAGUCUCGACCCCCUCAGCCGUAAAACACAUGCACCUACCGCCUCGGAGGCUCAGCACUGCCAACCCACACGCCGAUGAAUCCAAAGUGCCGGCCCGCGCCGCAUUGACACCAACAUCGUCCGUUGCCCCGAACUCACACCGCUUGCCAGAUAUGCAUUGAGCAUACCGGAAUAUAUAGCCAAAGCGCGCAAACCACGCUCGCGACCACAGCCUCACGCUGCGGCUCCCACCCCGUCUGCACGCACCCUAGGUGCUCAGCCCCUCCUCACUGCGGCACCACCGCCGCCUCGGCCGCCUUGGCGGACGGCUCCGCCGCCGCAUCCGCCGCCGCAUCUGCCACCGCCGCCGCCGCCGCCGCAUCCGCCACCGCCGCUGCCUCGUCACGUGCUGCCAGCAGCUCGUCAAUCUUGCGGAACUGCCAAGGCCACCUGCCGGGGGGGGUGGGGGUGGUAGCCGUUCAUGGGAAACGGAGUGAUAAAUCUCACAAGUAUAAAAUGCCGACGGCCAGUAGGAACAGCACGCGGGGUUAGCGAGGUAGAGAGCGAGGAUGAGGGUGAGGGGCGCCGUGUACGUGUGCUAAAGAGCACAAGGAAAACAUUGCGCAAAGACAGUGUAUGCGAUGCAGCAAACGGCGCCGUGUACGUGUGUUUGUGCGUGUGUUAAAGAGCACAAGGAAAACAUUGCGCAAAGACAGUGGAUGCGAUGCAGCAAAGCGACGGUUUAUUACGGAUGUUACCUGAAGUUACCGCGCAUACCUGCUGCUGCGGUGAGCCGCCGGUCUUACCAACGCGGAAAUCGCGCAACCCCCGCUACUCUAACUAACCUCGAGGGGGGGAUUAAUGUCCACACGCUCUCAAGCACCCCUGCUCUCAAGGGUGCAAACCCAUGCAUGUGCUCACGGUACCGUGAGGCCCAGGCACUCCUACGAUUCCUAGCUCCUCGUCGCUACUCCUGGCCGCUAAGUCCAAGCUCCCGCCGCCCACUCCUCGAUGAACUUCUCACCUACGAGCGAAUAAGAAAAUAACAACAGAGCACAGGGCGGCAGCAGGGGAGGGUCACGAACAAGAGCGAAGGAACAUGUUAGCGCGGCGGCGCGCGACGAGCAAGAGCAAACACGCAGCCCAGUCCCAGCCCAAUUAACUAUACUAGGGGUUGCGCGAUUUGGGAAAGAGAGGGUGGGCGACCACGAGCAAGUGAACAGGCGGGGGACGGCAUGGGCGCAUGCAUGACGGCAAAUGCAAAUGGGGUGCCAGCACCAUGGGCUAGCGGGGGAAACCCCGCGUGUGUGUGUACCGUGUGUGUGUGUGUGUGUGUGUGUGUGUGUGUGUGUGUGUGUGUGUGUGUGUGUGUGUGUGUGUGUGUGUGUGUGUGUGUGUGUGUGUGUGUGUGUGUGUGUGUGUGUGUGUGUGUGUGUGUGUGUGUGUGUGUGUGUGUGUGUGUGUGUGUGUGUGUGUGUGUGUGUGUGUGUGUGUGUGUGUGUGUUAAAGAGCACAAGGAAAACGUUGCACAAAGACAGUGUAUGCGAUUUAAAACAAGGGGUGUCAGCUUUGUACAGCUGGAAAAUGGGCUGAGCCCCCGUACGCUUGGGAGCUAAUAGGGUGUAACGCCCCGUCAGAGCCUCCAGCCGCUACGACGCGCAGGCGCAUCGGCUAGGGACACUCGGGUUGGGGUCGUGCGGGAUUUCCCGCGCCACGCAUGCGUGCCUUGUCACGUUCCCAAACACCCCAAGCCUUUCUCUAGCCUCCUGCCAUACUCAACACCUCCCCGGCGCCCCACGCUCAAAGGGCUAGGCGCGGGGCGGGGGCGACCUCGGGGCUUCUCGGCAUUCUGGCGCGUCGGCAGGCAUGGCUCGGCAAGUCGCUCAAAACUUUCGAUAUACUUCCCCGCUUUGCUUGCCGCCAACAUAGUUUGCCUUAGAGGCUGCAUAUCAGCGGGCACCGGAUGCUUUCCUUGCGACCUCGCGAAAGUCAAUUGUCCAUGGACGCGCGAAGGCACUUCUCGCUCCGCCCGAAUUUUCCCUGCCACCUAUUUACACGCAAUAGACAUUAACAAAUAAUAAUACGUAGCACUCGCGGUUUGCGCCAGUAUGCUAUGUUUUGCCGACGCACGAACGCAGCCACGGACAGGGGUGUUCCUGGGGGGCUUCGCCCCCCCCUGGAACGCUGCGCUGGGGGGGCUCAGCCCAAAAAACGGUUUACGGAUGUUACCUGAAGUUACCUCGCAUACCUACUGCUGCGGUGAGCCGCCGGUCUUACCAACCGGAAAUCGCGCAACCCCCGCUACUCUAACCUCGAGGGGGGAUUAGUGUCCACACGCUCUCAAGGGUGCAAACCCAUGCAUGUGCUCACGGUACCGUGAGGCCCAGGCACUCCUACGAUUCCUAGCUCCGCGUCGCUACUCCUGGCCGCUAAGUCCAAGCUCCCAGCUCAGUGUGUGUGUGUGUGUGUGUGUGUGUGUGUGUGUGUGUGUGUGUGUGUGUGUGUGUGUGUGUGUGUGUGUGUGUGUGUGUGUGUGUGUGUGUGUGUGUGUGUGACUACGGUUUCCACGGUUAAUCUGCCAGAUCACGUGAAUCGUGUAUCUGGUAUAACCAACGACAGGGCUCUCAAUCGAGGGCUGCCGUGACCUGGCGUUUCCCCGGCAGAGCGCAAACAGCUCUGGAGUCCACACGGUAACGCACUCCGACCCUUCACCGCGCCAGUAACCCUUGCGGAAUUUCUACCGGUGUAACAACCUCAGACCCAGCGGGCGAGCUACAUCUUAAGACCAGGCGGGCAGAGAACAAAAAACAGCAAACACAACAAAACACGCAGCACGCAACACGCGACAGCACGCGAUAACACGACCACAGUGGCUGUGGGGCUGAGUCCUGCGACCCCGCAGCCUGCACGACCUCAACCGCAACAUAACCAGCUCUCGACGCCAGGGCAGACUAUGCCUAAGGGCAGCCACAAACGGGUCUGGCCACUAGGCCGGUCGAGGUCGUAAUGUCACGCCCCAGCGGGGAACCCAGCAUUUCGUGUCACCGUGCUGCAGCACUCAAAACAACCUCACAAGCAAAAACACCGCAAACCUGGCCCUGUUACCACGGGCGUAAAACCAAAACAAGGGGUGUCAGCUUUGUACAGCUGGAAAAUGGGCUGAGCCCCAUGUAGCGCAAGGGAUGUGACGAUGGGCACCGGCGACAUGAACAGCACCGAACGUGUAUGGGGGGGUUGGUUCGAGUUCGGCGAUUCUGAAGUUACUGAGUUUACAGAGGCGGGGUGGGACUGGGUGGGCAUGAUUGCGCAGGUGGCUAACGUUGCGCAAGGGUGACGCAGGUCCGAACGGCACGGACUGUUGGUUCCGGAUUCCAUGGAUGUAACGAACGUCUACUGAGUUUUACGGCUACCUGCGGGGCAUUGGAAACGGGGGGCGUCGGUUGGACUGGUGGGGAACGGUGGGAAUCGGUGGGAAUCGGUGGGAGUCAGUGGGGAUCGUUGGGAACGGGGGAGCCGAACGGGCGGGACCGGCCCUUGCAGGUGCCGACCGAGUUUACUGAUUUCACUUUUUGCAUGGGCGUAGGAUCGCGCCGCCCUGUCGAACUCUUGUGCGUGCCAUGUGGCUUGCCAGCAAGUAUUGUUGAGUAGCAGAUGCGUCAUGGACAUAUUUAGAAAGAGGAGGCACGCGGCCCAAGCGGCCGCGCCUUCCGCCAUGGCCGGGAAUGCGCUGAGGGUAGUGUCGCCGAUCGACUUUCGGAAGGACUUGGGUGAAGAGUUGCAUGACGGCAUUAAGGCAACGGCGCUGCGGCCAGCGGGGAGCUCCAGCGUGUCGGCCAUGGCGGACGAGGGCCAGCGGCUUCGCGGCGGCAGGCGUUCGCAGCUUCGCCUAUAUCAAUUCAAGCCAGGAGUCGAUCAGGCCACUCAGGUGCGCAGCACACGCAGUGACGCAGGGUUGCAUGAUUGUUCUCGAAAAGGCGUGGGGCCACUGUGGGCAUACGCACGCAAUGCUGCGCUCAGUGCAUAGCCAACAGCACCAAGAACUAUCCAAUCCGAUCAAGCCCGGGGCAUUUUGAGCGUAUCGGAUUGUGGAACUAGAGCUUCUAGAAUGUGAUUGCGUUCCUGUGUUUUCGAGUGCAGGAGCAUAUCCGUCGCUGUUGGGGCAAUGAGCCGAGAAUACAGCGGCGCCGCCGGCGUGGCUCUGGCGUCAGGCGUGGCUUUGUUCAGUGCAAAUGCGACGGGCAACAGCUGUGCGCUGGACGCGGACGUGAAGGCGCAACUGGCGCGAAUGGAGCUGUCCCAGCGAGCCCGUGAGACGGGUUGGUUAAUCGGGGGCAGGGCGGCGUCAGGGGAGGGGGGCUGGAUCGGGGGCUGGUUUGUCCGGGGUGGGGGGUCGGGUUUUGGGGGUGGUAGGGAGCUUGUGGUUGGGGUGUCGUGGAUCGGUGGCUUGAGCGAGAGGGCCAGAGGGGCCUGGGUUGGGGGUGGGUCCGGAGGUUGGGUUGGGGCCUUGGUGGCGAAGGGGUGGGCAUGAUGUCAGGGGUAAUGGCAUGAUCACCCAAGUCAAAGCUGAGGCUUUGGACCAUGUCGCAAGUAAGAAGCGCCUGUUGCUGGCAUUGACAAUCUGCAUGCAGGGGCUCAGCAGCACUACCAAGCAGACCUUACGGAGUGCAUGGAGGUUCUGCCGGCGCUGCACGGCUGUGGCGAUGCGUUGCUGGCGGCCCUGGAAGUGGUUCGCUCGGUUGUGCUGUCGGACUGCCGACUCAUCACGGACAGUGUGGAGUCCGAAGCCCAGCUGCUGGCGCAACUCGGCAUUACAAUGGCCGACCUGAACGCAAUUGCAGCCGCAGCAGCGGCGCCACGGCCAGCUGAGCUGUCCAUUGAGGAGGCUGCGCAGCGAACACCGGAACAGGUCAAGGCGGAUGAGGCGGCGAAGCAGGCUCGGGAAUUCCCGGACCAGGUCAUGGCGGUCACGGCAGCGUCACGCCAGGUACCCGUGCUGGUGACUCAAACCAGUGUGGAUGAACACGGCGCAGUCUGUGCGCAUGCAUCCCUGUACACCGGUGGCUCUGUCUUGCCGACCUGCAAUCCUGAGGGCAGCUGCGGCCGAGGCGAUAGUGGGUGUCGUCCAGGCGCUACGCCCAUAGCAGCGGACGGCGGGUGUGCUGCAGCUCCGGCGGUUGGUGGGGGCGGCGGCGGCGCGCCGGUGCAGCAGCAGCAGCAGCAACACGUGGUGGACGCAUCGGAGGUCAGCUACGUGACCAUCUGGCGUGGCCAUGCGUACAGCGGGGUUCCGGUGGGCGGCAGCAUCUCUUUCCUGCUGCCAGCUUUGGAGAUCGUGUCGCAGUCGGCCUGCAAGGAGCUGGGAAUGCCGUUCCAUAUGGGCUUGGUUCCUUCCGAGGCUCGCCGGUAUCUGGAGGAGGUGUCGCUGCCAAUCUACGUAAACGAGGGCCGUGUCGAAGCCCUGGCCCCCGGUCCAGCUCGUGGUGGGUAGGGGGCUUGAUGGCGGGAUGGGCUGAUUACUGCACGCGCGCGGGUGCAUCCAUUGGCUGCAUGUACACUGCACGGAUACAGUGUGGGCUGCACAUCGAAUCCUGAAUGUGCGGCAGGUGGGUGGGUAAAAGGAUGUCUUAGGUUCACUGACGAUAAGUUGUGCUAACGCGCAACGAACGCAGGCUUCCUGGAGGACGUCGGGCUGAAGGUGCCGGUGGAGUCGGUGCUGGCACCUGACGGUCAUCAGCGAAGCGGCGGUGCUCGCGGUAAGUUACGAUGGUGGGCUGCGGCGAUCAGCAGUACUGGGGUUGAAUGAGGUAUGUGUAUGGAUGAGAUAUAGGUAUGGAAGCGCACUGUUCUCUGCUGCAAUUAUGUUCAGCUGUUUAAGCAUCUUAAUUGAAGUUGAGCCGAUCCUUGUACGGGCUGCUGCUAUGUGUCCAGGUACCGCAACGGCACCGGUAGGCCUCGACUCCAACGACCUACCCGGGCCAAGCUUCUAUGACGCGUGGGUGGCGGCGGCACCGCGGCCGCUGCUGCGGACUCAUUCCUGGGCGGUAUGGGCGGUGCUGGAGGCAGCAGAUUCCAGGGCUUUCCCGACGAGGAUCCUGGGAACAUUCCUGCACAUCGGCAGUGCUACAUUACAGCGCGGGUGAGGCCUUUGUCAUCUGAUUCGCAGCGCGUUGCAGUAUGCAUGUGGGUGCGUGAUUUAGUCGGGUUUAAAUUUUGUUCGUUCUUCUGGCGGGUGGGCAUCGUGAUGCGAUUGGCAUACAUGUGUAUGCGCGUGUUCUGUGUGCAUUGCUUGCAAGCGUGCAAGCAACAACAGUGGUACAUGCGGCAGUUCUCUGCGCCGAGUGUUUAAUUAAGUUUAUGGAGUUGUGAUGUACAUGCAGGAUCGCGUCCGGCUGGGACCCUCAAGCUGUGCCGCGGCCCCACCAAACACUGUGGCUGGUGGCAACACUGGAAAGCGGCAUCGCGAGGUGGCUGGUGCCCUUCAGCAGAUCCCGCGCGUGGAGCGUGCUGCCGGCAGUCCAAAGGCGCCCAAGCUGCACCAUGGUGCACGCACGUCGCCACGUGCCGCGGGUGAGUGUCGCCUGCGCACGCAAGAGCGUGGUGGGCAUAGCAGGGCGUGCAGAGACCCGUGCGUGCAGUGUGUUUCGCGGUUCAUGCCUACAUAUAGGUUGAAGUGGAUCCGAUAAGGAUGUGCCGCUUACCGCGUGCGUUUGGCAGUUGACGUCUGGCGUGUGAACUCAAAUAUUUGCCCAUUCUUCAGGAGGUAUGGCAGCUGCGCGGGAAGCAGACCGUGCCGUGGUCGGCAAUGGUGGUGUCGCUGGUGCGUAUGGAGGCUAUGACGAUGACAACGCUGCGCACUACAACGCCGCGCAAAGCGGCGGGAAUGACGUGGCGGCUGCAGCCGGUAAGUUCUUACUGCCAGGCAAGAUUGAAGGCUUUCUAAACAGGUUUUGGGUUGUCUAAAUUGUUGCAGGGCUAAUCAAAGGUGUUUCACUCUGGAUCAGACCCCGUGGCCAACGGUCACUUCAAGACAAAAACUUGCGCCGGAGUGUUGGAGCCGUACACCGUCAUGUGCAGUAUUACUGAGCAAUGUAUUGUUGGUUUUUUGGUGUUUCGGUGCGCUGCACAGGUGGUCACGACCAGGUGCAAAUGGACAGCUGCAGUAUGUCGGAUGUAGACAGUGCCGCUCAUGGCGGCGAGGACAGGGACUACUGCAAGCGGCAGCGUCGGCGGCGGAAGCGCCAGUCCAAGACAUCAUCCAAUGGCAAGCCGGGUGAGUGCGUCAGCGGGCGGGGCGGGUUGUGUAGCGGUGGCGUGGGUAACGAUGAGUCGUUGAGGUCGCGUGUGUGUGAUGGUAAAGCGCUGGCGGAAGUGGCGAAGGAAAACGGUGAGGAGUCCAUUCAAGAUAGUCAAGCGGCGCUGCGUGAGAAAGCGCGUGUUUUUGCGGAACUUGUGGUAAACGCGCCGUUCUCAGCGGCAACGGCUAAGGCCCGCGAGAAUGAGGCUGCGGCGUGGAGGUCAUACAAUGAGGUGUGCGCGCGGGAGUUCUGGCAUGAGAAACCAGAGAGUAAGGGUAGGUGGCCCUUGCCAGUUCGCCAAUGGUGUGAGCUGCUUGUUUUGUUGCGUCGCAAGUAUGGGUCGUACAACGCCUUUUGCAACGCCAUCAAUAUGGUAUGCAAAGUCGGUAGCAAGGCCGCCCACAAUGUGCAUAUAGCUGAAAGUCAGCGUGCUGGCGUUGACGUUGGGAGCAUGCAAGGAGUACGGGACUUUGAUCCGCGGGUCAUUUAUCAGGCGCAGCAUCGCAGCACUAUGGAUUUGGUCAGGAGGGACUCAGGUGUGCAGGUCAAGCAUACGGAAUAUAUCAACAUGGAGGAAGCACGUAACGGGCACAAAUUUACCGACCAUACCUCAUUGCCAGGGCUGCAAGAGAGUGCAUGCUGGAACAUGGAAAACUUGAGCGGCGGGCGGCGGCCCCGCAGCAUUGCCGCUCUGCGUGUUCGCCAUUUGCGGUGGACUGUUACCAGCGUGAAGCAUAGCUCGGGUAACUCAUGGCUCGCUCCGAGCCUGACAUAUGAGCCGCCCUCAACGGCAGGGAGCACGCAGCUUGCCGCCGAUGGGAGCAACUAUGCGGACAUGGUAAGACACGGCGGCAGUCCGGCACAGCAGUGCUGUGAUGUUGGUUGGUGUCAUGUUGAUUGGGGCAUCGAGGGCGGCUGCGGGACCCCAGGCGAGCCGUCACAAAAACCAACAAGGCUGUCCACGCGUGCUGUUCAGGUAACGAUUUCCUUUACGCGUCAGCACCACUGACCACUGGUGCGUGGAGUCAUCGUACGAGACGGUUUUGGCCUUAGCAAAAUCAUCAACGGGCAAAAUCUUGUUGCUACUCCCGCUACGCACAACCAUCGAGGUGGUGGUGGACGUGUCGUCAUUGGGCGGGAUGGGCUUCACGGCCCCAGAAAGCUAAAACCCACUGCAGCCACAAGCAAUGCAUGAAGCCUUCUAUUCAGGGGUGCCAGGCACCAGCGUGUCUGGAGUGUCAGGUUGGUCUCUUUAGCCGUCCCGUUCAUCCAGCGGGACUGGCCACUAUGCCAACGCCGUGCUGAGGCACCGACAUGCCCUGUCCCCGCCCCGCCACGCCACCUUACCCACGCCACUUCACGGUCCAUGAUAUCCCAAAUGCACCUCACCCACAUCCCACUCAAGCACCGCAAACGGCUAGCCGGGCUCGGGCGCGGGCUCCCGGGCCGCGACACAUUUAAGGCUCGGGGACGCAUGGUUUGGCUGUUGCAAACAAUUUCGACAUUCUUGCCCCAAGACGCUUGUCGUCGACAUGUUUUGAUACAUGGAUGUAAGAUAUUUAGGGGCCGAGAGCUAUACUCGCGGACUGAAGAAAGUCAAGAUGUCCAUGGACUCACGAGGUCGCUUCUCGCUCCGGCCGAGUUUUCCCUGCCGCCUAUUUUUCUACAAUAGGGAAUAGCAAUUAAUAAUACGUGGCACUCGCGGUUUGCGCCAGUUUGGCACUUUUUGUCGACACAGGCAGGCACGCACGCACGCACGCACGGACAGGGGCAAUCCUGGGGGGCUUCGCCCCCCCCUGGAUCGCUUCGCUCGGGGGGCUCAGCCCAAAAAACCUUCGCCUGCCCACUAAGCUCCCCCGCUGACCCUCUCGUAUGCCACUGCUUCAGUGGCUCAUGUUAGUGCUCACGCGCUUCUCCUAACGUCAUGUUCGCUUGUGCGUGUUGCGUUCUUUCAAGCAUAUCAAUAAUCUCCUAAGGGCUGAUCCCUUUCAAGCCUCCAGCUGUGUGUGUGUGUGUGUGUGUGUGUGUGUGUGUGUGUGUGUGUGUGUGUGUGUGUGUGUGUGUGUGUGUGUGUGUGUGUGUGUGUGUGUGCGUAUACCGCGUGUGGCGUGUGGUGUGGGGCGUGUGGGCCAGGCACGGACAGGGGCGAUCCUAUGGGGCUUCGCCCCCCUGGAUCUGUCGAAACUGUGGGGGGCUAAGCGCCUCAGGCUGGGGGUGGGGCAAAACCGGGGAUGAACGUUCGACUGCUGAGCGCUGUACAGCUGCCGAAUAUCUGCACGCAUAAUACAAGUUGUGCACUGUACGUUCUUUCAGUAUUUCUCAAUGAAACCGCAAAGCUUGCUUCUGAGCACCGCUGAAAUGGCCGUAUGCGUGCGCGACUUUGCUGACAUUCAGUCGGACAUUGACAAGGUGACAAAAGAGAUAAAUGAUGUCGACGCGCAAGUGAGCAAGGUAGAAGCCAAGGUGGAGAAGGCAGAAGCAGAAGUGGAGAAGGCAAGGGCGAUGCGUCGUGAAAUAGCCAAGGAGCUGAAGCACCCAGAUCUCAGCGAGAAGGAGCGGGCGGCGCUGGUUGCGGAGCAGGAGUCGUGCGUCGCGGACUUGACAGCUGCCGAGAGGAAACUGGAGCGGCUGAGCAGGAAGGAGGAGUACCUGCGCAAGGACAAGGAGCAGCUGCGCACGAAGAAGGCGCAGCUGCGCAACAAGGAGGAGCAGCUGCGCAAGAAGGAGGAGAGGCUGCAACAGGACGGUGAGCAUUGCGGUCUUGCUCGAUGCUUUAUUGAGGUCUGAUGGGCGUUUUUGCCGAGCUCUAGAGCUUAAAUUACGCUGCUGCUCCGCUGUUGCCGUCCCAAUCUACCAAAACCACAUCUCACUGGGACAUGUGCCUUUGCCCCCCUGAACGCGGGGAGCGCUACAGGAGCCGGUGAGUUUGUGUUGCGAAAGCCCUAUGUAAGCAUGGUGCACGUGCAGUUGCUAUAAAUGUGCAGCGUGCACCGUGCAGUGUGCAGUAUGCAGCGUGCACCGUGCAGUGUGCAGUAUGCAGCGUGCACCGUGCAGUGUGCAGUAUGCAGCGUGCGCCGACCAACCGCCCCGCGCGGCCCAGAAGCUUUCUCGCGGUGCGGACACUCCUCGCGUGUCGGAAUGCCAACGCUGCCUCCUUUUGCAGACAAGAAGAAGAAGCUGUCACCAUAUGAGAUCAUGGACAAGGUCUACAAGGACGCCACGUACACGGCGCCCGUCCGUGUACACGGCGACCAUAAGCCGGUGAGCGACCUGGCGGGUCCAACGAUGGAGCGGAGGAGGUGGAGGCGGGGAAUAUGGGGGAGGGUUCGGCGGAGUGUUUUCAUAGGAGGGUGCGUGUGUGGGUGCACAGGAGGGUGGGAUGGGUGGCUGGUCACGAAGGGUACAGGACAGAAGUCUGCCGCCCGCUUCCCCAUACGCGAGGGAACCCGUUCUCCAGGCUCGAAGGCCCCAGGGUUUGGGCAGGGUGGGAAGGGUUGGCAAUGGCUCUGCCGGCGCUGGCUUGGGCGGGCGCGCUCGUGCACGGACAUGCAUUGUGCAUAUGCAUUGGGGUCCUGGCCUAUGGCGACCUGCUGCACUGUGACUGACCUUUGCAUCUACGGGUCUGCUCCUGACAUCCUGCCCUCCUGGCACAUGCCCCAGCAGGUCACGCUGGAGGAAAAGAAGAAAAGCUGACUAGCAGUGGCCGGCAAGGUCGGCAUCGUGGCCUUCCGUCUCUGUGGCCCUGUGCUGGUCCUGCGUGCGGGGCAUCGGCGGCCGGUACACGCCGCCUGUGCUCCUCACCGUCGGGCUUGUCCUGACGGCAAUGUGGGCCAUUGGGCUGUGUGUGUUCACGGCGGCGGUGCUGUCAGAGAUCCAGGUGUGCCACGGCGCCACCGUGUCCUGCGGAUUGGCAAUCCUAGCGGGCAUGUGUGUGCUGAUAUAUCUGGAUUGGCACGAUUUGCCUUUCCGGGAGGCUGCGCGGCGGGUGCUGGACGCUGCCAGCUAUGCUUACACGUUGUUGAAGAACGAAGUGCACUACAUUGCGAAGGACAUCGCAUUAGAUGUUUGUUGCUGAGAGGGAGGAUGGCCAGGAGACAGAUCGUGUGGGAGAGGGGCACUCGCGGCCGUCAAGGUUGUCAGGCCCGAGUGCCGUAAGGUGUGUCGUUUUGUCGUGCUUUUGAACGAGCUCGCUGCUCUCAUGACGGGCCAGCGCCUCGCAUCUACUCCUAUGGCUUAGUGCUUAGUUGUGAGGCUCCCCGCCCGCCUCCAUGACUAGUGCAAGUUGGGGCUAAUGGAGGACACCACUGCUGUAAGCUAUGCUCAAGCAUCUUGGGUUGCGCCUAUUGCAGCAUUCCCUUUGGUACCGGUUUGCUGGUCAGCCGAACCGGGCCUGAUAGCCACAGCGAGGUAGCAGCGAUGUAAGUGCGUGGCAGCCCUGAGCAGGUAUGAGGCACGGAACAGAUGUGAGGCAUUCAGGGAUCAUGUUGAUCACGUCUGCCUGGACAGUGGACACGGCUUCCAUUUGGCUGCACUUGCUCUAGCAUGUUGAGGUGAAUACGGCUGGUCGGCGGCCUGCCCCAGGUAGGGCGGGGGAUGGGUGGGAUGCCAGGCAUAAAUGCGCCCAGGCACUGUUGUGAAAGACCCCGAUGGCGGCUGAGCCGCUGAGGUGUGUGAUGGGACAGGGUUCAAGGCAGAUUGGCGAGGUCCCGUAGGGAGCCGCUGAGGGGCAGACCGGGGCACACCGUGUGUUACAAGGCCUCGCAAAGAGCCAGAGACACCGAGACAGGAGUCAGUGCCAGAGUUCCGUUGAGGACUGUUGCGGCCGACACAUUGAAAUAAGCUUAGAGUUACUGCGGAAGUGGGGCGCCAUCACCAAAUGUGCCGAAGUGGGGCGCCAUCACCAACCUGAUAACCAAGGAAAGACACAUCCGCGGUACCCACCAGCUCACCUAUUAUUGCAUCUGCGCACUACACGCAUAUUGCCUGUUGUAACGUCCUGGAGCGUAUUGGGCGUGAUCGCGCAGUCAACUGCCAGCGAAGUCCAACAGUGCACAUCACGCGUGUCACGGCACGUACCCGCCAAGCCAUCCUCUUCACACGUCAUCUCCAAUACCGCAGUUGCAGUUGCCGCAGACAGGCGGCUGGUGUCCACCACGUCGGCAACAGCCGACAAGUCGAUCUGCCAAGCCUACGCCGGAACAUAGGGUAGCAACUGGCUCCAACGUCAACGUCGUCCAAUCAAUCUCCCACCCAAUCGUCGACUGCCCAAAACGUGUCUUGGCCACAACGGGCUGAGGGCUUCACCCAAAGCCGUGAAAGCCGCUCUGAUCCGACCCCAUCAAUGUGCGUCCAUCAGGACCUCCACCAACAGCGGUUACAUGAACGCCAUGCGAGUCGUUCGAGCAACCCCAACCCUUGCUGCUAGUGCUGGUGCUGGCGGCGCUGCGGGCACCGCCGGUCGCGCCACGGCGCCAGGGACCUGCCGCACACAUCGCCGGCCUAAGCCGCUGCGCACCACACGCACCAUCCCCAGCAACGCCUCCGCCUUCGCCGCCGCCAUGUCGCCACAGCUGUGGCUGCAGGCGGCGCGCUGGUAGGUGUCCUCGCUGGCACGCACACCGACGCAGACGCCGACAGCAGGGGGCUCAGCCCAAAAAGACUUCCCCAAAUCUCGACCCCCUCAGCCGUAAAACACAUGCUCCUACCGCCUCGGAGGCGCAGCACUGCCAACCCACACGCCGAUGAAUCCAAAGUGCCGGCCCGCGCCACAUUGACACCAACAUCGUCCGUUGCCCCGACCCCACACCGCUUGCCAGAUAUGCAUUGAGCAUACCGGAAUAGCCAAAGCGCGCAAACCACGCUCGCGACCACAGCCUCACGCUGCGGCUCCCACCCCGUCUGCACGCACCCUAGGUGCUCAGCCCCUCCUCACUGCGGCACCACCGCCGCCUCGGCCGCCUUGGCGGACGGCUCCGCCGCCGCAUCCGCCGCCGCAUCUGCCACCGCCGCCGCCGCCGCCUCGGCCGCCGCCGCUGCCUCGUCACGUGCUGCCAGCUCGUCAAUCUUGCGGAACUGCCAAGGCCACCUGCCGGGGUGGUGGGGGUGGUAGCCGUUCAUGGGAAACGGAGUGAUAAAUCUCACAAGUACCGUAUGAAAUGCCGACGUCCAGUAGGAACGGCACGCGGGUUUAGCGAGGUAGAGAGCGAGGAUGAGGGUGAGGGGCGCCGUGCACGUGUGUUAAAGAGCACAAGGAAAACAUUGCGCAAAGACACUGUAUGCGAUGCAGCCAAAGGCGCCGUGUACGUGCGUUUGUGCGUGUGUUAAAGAGCACAAGGAAAACAUUGCGCAAAGCCAGUGGAUGCGAUGCAGCAAAGCGACGGUUUACGGAUGUUACCUGAAGUUACCGCGCAUACCUGCUGCGGUGAGCCGCCGGUCUUACCAACCGGAAAUCGCGCAACCCCCGCUACUCUAACUAACCUCGAGGGGGGAUUAGUUUCCACACGCUCUCAAGGGUGCAAACCCAUGCAUGUGCUCACGGUACCGUGAGGCCCAGGCACUCCUACGAUUCCUAGCUCCGCGUCGCUACUCCUGGCCGCUAAGUCCAAGCUCCCGCCCAAUCCUCGAUGAACUUCUCACCUACGAGCGAAUAAGAAAACAACAGAGCACAGGCGGCAGCAGGGGAGUGUCACGAACAAGAGCGAAGAAACAUGUUAGCGCGGCGGCGCGCGACGAGCAAGAGCAAACACGCAGCCCAGUCCCAGCCCAAUUAACUAUACUAGGGGUUGCGCGAUUUGGGAAAGAGACGGAGGGUGGGCGACCACGAGCAAGUGAACAGGCGGGAGACGGCAUGGGCGCAUGCAUGACGGCAAAUGCAAAUGGGGUGCCAGCACCAUGGGCUAGCGGGGGAAACCCCGUGUGUGUGUGUGUGUGUGUGUGUGUGUGUGUGUGUGUGUGUGUGUGUGUGUGUGUGUGUGUGUGUGUGUUAAAAAACGAAACGAAAGCCCGCCCAAUGACGCGACGGAGUUACUUACCGAUACCCACCAUUUUACCGAGCGUCGCGUGACUGUCGUGACCCAGGUAGUCAUACUUACCCGCGAUAAGCCUGGAACCCCACGGGCGACCAUUCGGCCUGACCCCGCGAUGCACCUGUAUGCGUCCAUGCUCCGCACCCUGGGCGCGCUAAACAACGUUUACCCAGCACGCCUAAUUCCCGGAUUCCCGCCCGCUGGUCGUAGUCGAGCUCACCUAUAGGCAAAAGUGGAAGCAUGGGCAUAGGGCGGCAGCGAGGAAGUGUCACGGGCAUGUGAAUGGCAACGGCGACAAGAGAGGCGGCGUGCAGCAGACAAGCUAGGUAUCACGCGUCCCAAAUCCCGCCCACUAAGUACAAUAACACUAUUGGAAGAGGGCGAGUUAGCGGUGGCACUGCGACUAAACGGGGUCGAGGCUGCAUGGGGGACGUGGCGGGCGGCGGUUGCAGCGUUUCCAGACGCGUGUCAGGCUGGUGUGUGUGCGUGUGACGUGUGUGCGCCGUGGGCUGGCGGGAGCUGGCCUCCCGCUCCCCACUCCACGGCGGCACCGAGGCUAGGCACGCUCGCGGCCGCAGUGGCCGCGUCGGCUGUGCGUGACGAGCCCCCCACCCCCCAGAAUCCAGUUACCCCCCUGAUAGUGAACACGCGCCGCGACGUGUCGCGUGUGCAUGGUAGUGCCGCGCCGUACGCCUCGGCGACCGGGCCCACUCCGUGACGAGGUCCGUCGUCCGCCAGAGCCACCAGAGCCAUCAGGUGGUCGCAGCAGGUGGCCGAGCGGUACCGAUGGCAUAUCGCGCAUGCAUCGCGGGCACCGGAUGGGGUCCCAGACCUGUGACGCGGGCUUCAAGAGACAAAUAGCGUGGUGCUGGUACCGAGACCAGCGGGAACAGGGCGCGUGUGUGUGUGUGUGUGUGUGUGUGUGUGUGUGUGUGUGUGUGUGUGUGUGUGUGUGUGUGUGUGUGUGUGUGGCUGUGUGUGUGUGUGUGUGUGUGUGUGUGUUGAAAAGAAAACAACAAAACGAAGCCCGCCCAGACGGCGCGACGGAGUUACUUACGAAUACCUACCGAUACCGAGCGUCUUGUAGCCGCGUCGACCCCGGUAGUCAUACUUACCCGCAAAAAGCCUGGAACCCCCCCUCGGGCGAUCGACGAACGACCUGACCCCGAGUGGCACCCAUAUGCAUUGUAUGCGCCGCGCCCUGGGCGCGCUGCAACGUUGACCCAGCACGCCUAAUGCCCUGAUUCCCGCCCGCUGGUCGUAGUCGAGCUGUGUGUGUGUGUGUGUGUGUGUGUGUGUGUGUGUGUGUGUGUGUGUGUGUGUGUGUGUGUGUGUGUGUGUGUGUGUGUGUGUGUGUGUGUGUGUGUGUGUGUGUGUGUGUGUGUGUGUGUGUGUGUGUGUGGCUGUGUGUGUGUGUGUGGCUGUGUGUGUGGCUGUGUGUGUGUGGCUGUGUGUGGCUGUGUGUGUGUGUGUGUGUGUGUGUGUGUGUGUGUGUGUGUGUGUGUGUGUGUGUGUGUGUGUGUGUGUGUGUGUGUGUGUGUGUGUGUGUGUGUGUGUGUGUGUGUGUGUGUGUGUGGGCCAGGCACGGACAGGGGCGAUCCUAUGGGGCUUCGCCCCCCCGGAUCUGUCGAAACUGUGGGGGGCUAAGCGCCUCAGGCCGGGCGCGGGGCAAGCCCCGGGGCACCAUGUGGGAUGCAGAACGUUCGAGCUAGCCGAGCUAGCAACUGCCGAAUAUCUGCAGUGCAUAAUACAUGUGCAAUGUACGUUCUUUCAGUAUUUCUCACUGAAACCGCAAAGCUUUAAGCUUCUGAGCACCGCUGAAAUGGCCGAAUGCGUGCGCGACUUUGCUGACAUACAGUCGGAGAUUGACAAGGUGACAAACGAGAUAAAUGAUGUCGACGCGCAAGUGAGCAAGGUAGAAGCCAAGGUGGAGAAGGCAGAAGCAGAAGUGGAGAAGGCAGAAGCAGAAGUGGAGAAGGCAAGGGCGAUGCGUCGUGAAAUAGCCAAGGAGCUGAAGCACCCAGAUCUCAGCGAGAAGGAGCGGGCGGCGCUGGCUGCGGAGCAGGAGUCGUGCGUUGCGGACUUGACAGCUGCCGAGAAGAAACUGGAGCACCUGCGCAAGGACCUGGAGCAGCUGCGCACAAAGGAGGAGCUGAUGCGCAGGAAGGAAGAGCAGCUGCGCAAGGAGAAGGAGGAGCUGCGCACGGACCUGCGCAAGAAGGAGGAGAGGCUGCAUCAGGACGGUGAGCUUGAUGCUUCGGGAACCUAGGACUGAUUUUGCGUCCUUGUUGCUUUUGAGGCCUGAUGGGCGUUUUUGCCGAGCUCUAACGCUUAGAUUACGCUGCUGCUCCUUGUUGCCGUCCCAAUCUACCAAAACCACAUCUCACUGGGACAUGUGCCUUUGCCCCCCUGAACGCGGGGAGCGCUACAGGAGCCGGUGAGUUUGUGUUGCGAAAGCCCUAUGUAAGCAUGGUGCACGUGCAGUUGCUAUAAAUGUGCAGCGUGCACCGUGCAGUGUGCAGUAUGCAGCGUGCACCGUGCAGUGUGCAGUAUGCAGCGUGCACCGACCAACCGCCCCGCGCGGCCCAGAAGCUUUCUCGCGGUGCGGACACUCCUCGCGUGUCGGAAUGCCAACGCUGCCUCCUUUUGCAGACAUGAAGA